This 1301-nucleotide long non-coding RNA is filed under the name Eucalyptus grandis. Its description in RNAcentral is "long non-coding RNA (EGRA_LNC000905)". Lineage: Eukaryota; Viridiplantae; Streptophyta; Magnoliopsida; Myrtales; Myrtaceae. The record is from RNAcentral.
CGGAGAAAGUGAGUGAGGACUGAUCAGUGGACGAUAGUCUCAAAUUGUUCUGCAAGAGAGAGGCCGAAUGCGAAAGACAAAGUGAGCAACGAGAGAGAGGGGGGGGGGGGGGGGGGGGAGGACAAUCCGUAGUAGACGACAGUCUCGAAUUAUUAUUGACCGACCGGUAGACAAUAGGCUGAUUGACUGGUAGCAAUAAAAAUUCUUUCAGAUGGCAAGUAAAGUCAAGCCACACAAUGUAGACCACAGUACAGAAUGACCACUUCCAUUCAUAUCCACUUAAAAACCAUUUUGUUAAAUAGAUAAAUCUGGCUCUAACCGGCUUGUAAAUUUUUCAUUAUAUUAUUAUCAAAGACGUUUUUACUCCAGUUGGUGCUGCAUUUUCCUCCCACCAUAAAGAUGCAUAAAUCAUAUUAUCAAAUCCAUUGUAGGUCAAUAAUUUCCUACACUAUAUAUAUGUAAAAGUCAUGUCUUUGUUGUAAGCAAUAAAAUCUCAUGAAAAGCACAUCUUACGAUAAGUUUCUCUAAUUCAAUCCAUGAAGAUCAAGUCCACCUAAAAAUUGUCCACAUAAUAAAUACGUGUUGACAAUUUUGAUCCAUAGCCUAUGAAAGGUUUUGUGCAUUAUUGAAGAGAAUAGACUAGCAUGAUCGAUAUUUGGAAAAAAAAAUUUAACUGUUUUCAAGAAAAAAAAGAUUUAUUUUUGCAAAAACUGAAUAUUUUGGAUGUUUUAGCCCUUAAGUAAUUUUGGACAAUUGGGGUUCACAUAGGGCUGAUGGACCCAUAAUCAGGUCUAGAAGGAUAUUUUGGUAAUUUUCAUUCCCAAGGGAGUUCAAUCAACCAUUAAAUUUUAGAAAACAACAUUAGGAUAAAUGCUUAGGCUAGCAUUCGAUUCCACUAGAUUCAACCAGUCUAACCAUACAUAAUCCAUUAGUUUAAUGAGAAGAUUGUAGUAAGGAAAUUAGCAAUAUAUAUGCAAUGAUGAUUUUGGAAAAGUCGAGGGAACUUCACGAGUAAUGUUUUGGUCGCCUUAAAGCAUAUUUGGUGUUAUGCAAUGAGUAAUAAUCAAAUGUAUUUUUGUCUUGUCAAUUGUAAUAAACUAGAGAAUGAAGUUCGGGCUCACCUGGAGGAAUGAUGCAGAGAUGAAAUUCUUGUAAUGGGCUUUAGUGUUCGAGAAGAAGUUGCCUUGAACAAAUCAAGUUGUGUUCGAGUCCCAAAAGGCAGUACAAUUUGAGAUCACCUUCACACCUCAACUUGAAGCUAUCAAUACAAAUAUAACUCAGAACAAAAAUGAGGAUCUCAG